This 1210-nucleotide long non-coding RNA is filed under the name Oryctolagus cuniculus (rabbit). RNAcentral describes it as "lncRNA (ENSOCUG00000035521.1)". The record is from RNAcentral. Lineage: Eukaryota; Metazoa; Chordata; Mammalia; Lagomorpha; Leporidae.
AUGCGUGCAGUGGCGGGGAGGGCACUACCCCGCCCAGGCCGGCCGAACACUUCCAGAAGGCGCACCACUCUGCAGACCCUAACACGGCCCAUGGUGGUGGGGGGUGGGGGGUGGGGGGAGAGGGCAGUGCCCCGCCCGGGCCCGCCGCACACUUCCAGAAGGCGCACGUCUGUGGGUUACACCGUACGUGCCGCUCUGCAGACCCUAACACGGCCCACGGUGGGUGGGGGCCAGAGGGCAGUGCCCCACCCGGGCCCGCCGCACACUUCCUUAAGGCGCACGUCUGUGCUACCCGGCGCGUGCCGCUCUGCGGACCCUAACACGGCCCGUGGUGGGGGGCGGGGGCGGGGGAUGGGGGGUGGGGGAGCGCGCCCAGCCCUCCACGGGAGGCCCGGGGAGGGCGAGGCGGGCCCCGGUGAUGGGCAGGCGCUCGCCCGGAGCCCCGGAUGGGCGCCCCUCCCGGCUAAGCGGGGGCGCGGGGGUCCCGGGAAGGCUGGGCGCGCCGUGCUGCCCCUGUCCGCACCCGGUGUUAGUAGCCCUGCGCCUUCUCGGCCUCCAGGGCCUCUCGCGCGCAGGGAGGCCCGGGGAGGGCGAGGCGGGCCCCGGUGAUGGGCAGGCGCUCGCCCGGAGCCCCGGAUGGGCGCCCCUCCCGGCUAAGCGGGGGCGCGGGGGUCCCGGGAAGGCUGGGCGCGCCGUGCUGCCCCUGUCCGCACCCGGUGUUAGUAGCCCUGCGCCUUCUCGGCCUCCAGGGCCUCCAGCGCGCGGGGAGGCCCGGGGAGAGCGAGGCGGGCCCCAGUGAUGGGCAGGCGCUGUCCGGAGGCCCGGAUGGGCGCCCCUCCCGGCUAAGCGGGGGCGCGGGGGUCGCGCGGCCCGGGGCGGGGGUCCCCGGAAGGCUGGGCGCGCCGUGCUGCCCCUGUCCGCACCCAGAGCCGCGGCGCCCGGCGAGCGCGGCCGCACACCGCGGUUCGGCGGAAAGAUGUCGGGAGGCUUUUUUGAACGAUUAGUUCAGCCUUGGGGUUGCUUGGUCGUCUCGUUGGCGGCGGAGGGUGACGGCUCCCUCUUGGCGGGCACCCGCAGCCCAGCUCACCGGUGUCCAGCUGUGCGGACGUCCUUAAUCGAACCCAGGAUUGGGAGAGCUGGCCUCCCCGUGCGCUGAUUUCGGUGGCUUCCGUUUUGGGGUUCCCGGGCUUGCCCCUUAAUGGCCGGAAAA